ACGGGGUGCAGCAGGCGCGAAAACUCCACAAUGUACGACAGUACGAUGGGGUUAUCUCGAGUGCAGUCCGAUAAGGGCUGCUUUUCCAUAGAGUAAUAUCCUGUGGGAAUAAGAGGGGGCAAGACUGGUGUCAGCCGCCGCGGUAACACCAGCCCCUCGAGUGGUGGGGACUAUUAUUUGGCCUAAAGCGUCCGUAGCUGGCUGUAUCCGUCCCCCGUUAAAUCCAGCGUCCUAAGCGUUGGACUGCGGGUGAUACCAUACAGCUAGAGGGUGGGAUAGGUGAGCGGUAUUUCUGGGGUAGGGGCGAAGUCCUUUGAUCCCAGGAGGACCACCAGUGGCGAAGGCUGCUCACUAGAACACGCCUGACGGUCAGGGACGAAAGCUGGGGCAGCGAACCGGAUUAGAUACCCGGGUAGUCCCAGCUGUAAACGAUGCCAGCUAGGUGUUGGGUCGGCCACGCGCCGCCCCAGUGCCGCAGGGAAGCCGUUAAGCUGGCCGCCUGGGGAGUACGGCCGCAAGGCUGAAACUUAAAGGAAUUGGCGGGGGAGCAC
RNAcentral lists this ribosomal RNA (551 nucleotides) under uncultured archaeon. RNAcentral's name for it is "bacterial SSU rRNA". It matches the Rfam family "Archaeal small subunit ribosomal RNA", at positions 325 to 879 of the family's 1478-position model. The record is from RNAcentral.